Molecule: transfer RNA, 72 nt
Filed under: Camelus bactrianus (Bactrian camel)
Lineage: Eukaryota; Metazoa; Chordata; Mammalia; Artiodactyla; Camelidae
Also listed under: 2 other names
Rfam family: tRNA
About the family: Transfer RNA (tRNA) molecules are approximately 80 nucleotides in length.
Source: Rfam by way of RNAcentral
CUAGGUAUAGCCCAGUGGUAGGGUGAAUGCUUAGCAUGCAAGAGGUCCUGGGUUCAAGCCCCAGUACCUACA